This 93-nucleotide small RNA is filed under the name Marmota monax (woodchuck). The record is from RNAcentral. Lineage: Eukaryota; Metazoa; Chordata; Mammalia; Rodentia; Sciuridae.
AUCGCUUCUCGGCCUUUUGGCUAAGAUCAAGUGAAGAGUGCACAGAUGUUCUCUGAACAUAAGACAAAUAUUUUAAAAAUUCAGUAACAUCCU